CACGUAGGAAGCGAGCGUUAUCCGGAUUUACUGGGCGUAAAGCGUGUGCAGGCGGUCACGUAAGUUGGAUGUGAAAGCUCCUGGCUUAACUGGGAGAGGUCGUUCAGAACUGCGAGACUAGAGUGCGAAAGAGGGAAGCAGAAUUCCGAGUGUAGUGGUGAAAUGCGUAGAUAUUCGGAGGAAUACCAGAGGCGAAGGCGGCUUCCUGGUUCGCAACUGACGCUGAGACACGAAAGCUAGGGUAGCAAACGGG
Molecule: ribosomal RNA, 253 nt
Filed under: uncultured bacterium
Lineage: Bacteria
Description: partial 16S ribosomal RNA
Rfam family: Bacterial small subunit ribosomal RNA
Source: RNAcentral